Molecule: long non-coding RNA, 5921 nt
Organism: Onychostoma macrolepis
Lineage: Eukaryota; Metazoa; Chordata; Actinopteri; Cypriniformes; Cyprinidae
Exons: 4
Source: RefSeq, a predicted model, not a curated record
UCACAUCUUUAUGUGUAGAUGAGAGGUUUUGAUAGCUUUGUAAAGGGUUUGCUGUCAGUUUGUCAAUGGUUUAUUGGAAGUUGUCUAAGUUAUUUCACCUAAAAUAUGUGCUGUAUACUGUUAAUGGGUGACGUCACUUACAUGAAGCACGAAUUAAUUGAACCUAACAUCAGUUCAAAAGUGCUUUGAUCUUUCAUGGUAAACAAAUACUGAUAAAUUAAAAUUGUUCUGUGGUUUCAGGAGUGAUAAUAUAAUCUUUCUACAAAGGAAGAGAAGCUGCAAAGGAAGGGAGCUGCUGACAGAAAUGCAGAAAACACAGGUGAGCAUAGAAGAAAUAUGCAUUCAUAUGCAUUUUUUUUUUCACAACAUAUUUUCUUAUAUCACCAUGCAUCUGUUAUAUUACAGUUCAUUAAAGGAAGGUUUUGACAGGUAGUGACACAAACCUAAAUACAUGAAUGUUAAUAAUUUUAUUUUAAGAAAUUGUUUGUUUUGUGUGUGUGUGUGUGUGUGUGUGUGUGUGUGCAUGUACCAUUUUCUUUUCUGCGUUUCACUUCUGCUCUAGCUUGCUUCCUUUAAAUAAAGCUAAAUAUCGUUGGCUCUGUGAUAAAUUGCAUAUUAUGUUUCUAGAUUAUAUGCUGAUGGCCGUGCAGCAGAGGAGCGCAGAGUCUCCUGUCGGACAACAUCUCUAAGUCGCUAUGUACCAUGUUACUAGAUCCUAUGUACCCAGCCUCAACCAUUCAUCAGAAGGACUGAAAGCAGGAACUCUUUGAAACACCAGUGGCAGUUUCCACGGGAUGAAAAAGGGCAUAGUAGUGGAUGAUGAGGUCCUGAGACCAUAUGGGGUGAAGAUCAAGACAACCAAACCAAAUGUGGACUGUAACCUACUGGACUAUAUGAUAGACUUUAUACUGACCACUACUGCCAUGUAUGCAGCAUGAAAAGUUUUUGAAAAGAGGGGCAUUUCCUUCACCAAGUAAAAGUGUGGAGGAUUCAUCUGGCCUUCAUCGGCCCCCAUGAGGUGACUCGAUGUAGAAUAAAUCAGCUUGCUUUAGGCCUGAAAUGACUGAAAUCUUCUCGUGUGAGUUGAUAUCAUUUUAAACAUUCUUUAAAGUACUUCUCAUUUCUUGUGAAUGUAUUUUGUUGUAUGUGUAAAACUUUUCCAAUGAAAGAACCUUUUUUACCUUCAUUGAUAUUGUAAUCAAGGUUGUUAAUGCUAUGGACUGCACACAUCUGCCUGUGUUGGGCUUGUGUUUACAGGUUGUAUAAAACUAGGCCUGGCUGCAACAACUAAUCGAUAAUUAAAAUAAUCAUCAACGAAUUUGAAUAGUGCAUCAAAACAAACAGACCGCUCAUAAUUCUGACUAAAAUACACAUUUUGCUCAAAUAUUUUUUUGUUAGAAAUUAAGUGUAGGUUUAAAACCCUACAUGUAACACAAGUAAUCAUAUUUAUGAGAGCAGUAACAGUAAAGGCACUAUUGUUGGAAUUGUCCAUUAAUAUAAUAUAAUAAUAACUCUGUUCAGACGAAUGAUUGUGUUUGUUCCUCGUACCUCUUACAAGUUAACAUUGUGUUUUUUUGUUUAAAUUGUUUUAAAUUCUGUUUCAAAAUAACAAGCAAUCUGUUUUUAGGAUUAGAAUGUAAUGUUUGUAUUUUAACACUUUAAUGCUUAUAAUGAUAUCCAAAAAAAUUGUUAGUUGCAUGCAGCCCUACAAAAGAUAUUGUUAAAGAGGUCGGCGGUAUAAUGUUAUGUGUGAACACUAAGUCAUGUUUAUUUGUACAACGUAAUUAAUUUCUAUAGAGAUAAUGCAUUAUUACAGUGAAACAAUUUGCUAUUUUUAUUUUGUAAAUUAGCAGAAAACCAUCUCUACCACUGCAGUGCUUUAUCACUAUUUUUUAAAUAAAGUUAUAGUUCUGAAUCAUUUUGACAUGUGAUAACAAUAUUUUGUUUCAGAUGAUGUAACUGCUAUAAUAAAGCCUGUAUCAUAGAAUAGUAACUUGUCAUUCUGUUUUUAUUUUGUAGAUGUUUGUUGAAUAACUAGGCUUAAAUGUAAUUUGAGGUACUUUAGUAAAACUAUGGUUAAACUAUGGUAUUACAACCAUAGUUCAUUUGUGGUAAUUGAACCAUGGUUUUUAAAACCAUGGUUCGCACCAAAAAACCACGGGUACUACAGUCAUGGUUUACUACAGUUGUACUAUAGUAUUACUACAAUAUAACUGUAGUAAAACCAUGGUAUCAGAACCAUGGUUUUUUAAAAAACCACGGGUACCAAAAAACCACGGGUACUACAGUCAUGGUUAACUACAGUUUUACUAUAGUAAAACCAUGGUUAAUUUUCGUAAGGGUCCGUGCAUGGACCACGGCUGAUGCCUUCUGUGAGCCCAUCACGGAAUUUUCGGCGAUUCCGUGAUGCCACCACAGAUUCGGAGGUUAAUUAAGUCCGUGAACGUUACACGGAAUUCUGUGAGAUCAGGUUGUAUAUACGUAUAUCUGCACAUGCUUUACAAUUUUGUCUUUAUCACCGUCUUGGUACAUUAAGACCCAGAUAUAGCAAGGUGACAUUGAUUCAAUGUUAAAAUUCCAUCAGAAUCAGCAUUUUGGUUGAGGUUGAAAAUUCAAUGCUUUUCAGUGUUGAAAAGACAAAUAUUGAAUCAAUGUUGAUUUUUGGUCAGCAUUUCACUGGUGAAACUUUAGACUGUCAAUCCCUUAUUCAGCACUUAAAUAUGGUACAUCUUCCUGAAAUGUAGUGAGCACAUGCUCAUCAAACAAUAAAUGCUGUAAAUUUUGUAAACUCGUCACCACUAGCAGCACCGUUAAAUAAAUCAAACUGUCUACUGAGUGUAUGGACUAACAAAGAACUGUGAACAUUAGAUAGAAGUCAGAUAAACCAGCUGGAUAUUAUUAUUAUUAUUAGCAGCAGUAGUAGUAAUGUUUUUACAUUAGUAAUUAAUGUGUUCAUUACCUGUUUUUGGCUAGCUAGAGGAGUAGGCUACAUUCAGCCAGAGACUGAUAAUGACUAAAUGCUCCAAUGAAUGCCCUUAUAAUUCUUGUGGUCAUCCAGUUCAUUAACUUAAAUUAAACAUUUUUAUUUUUAAAUCAAAAUAUUUUUAAAUUAUAAUUAAAUAUUUAAAUUAUAAUUAUCAUUUAUAUAAUUUAUAAUUUAUAUAUUCGUUAUAAUUAUUAGAUUUAAAUCAUGUGGAAUUAUCUAAGGAGAAUAGAGAGAAUUCAGAGGGUUUUUUCAUGCGCCACAAUCCAGUCCAGCUAAAGCUGGCUGCCAACCGCCAAUCAAAUCAAAGCGCGGGAGAACAGAUUUCAAAUGCGAAAUGGACGGAGACCAGGCCUAAAGGUGUUUUUUUUUUGUAAGUAAUAAGAUUACAAAAAAAAAAAACCACAUAAACGCACAGAAAUAAUUAUAUAUAUAAAAAAUUCCAUGUAACUUAACUUACUUUCUUUACAGAGUUCCCUUUAUAUGACGACAGUUGACAGAUGUUGAUCCUUCACUUAGCUACGAACACAACGGAUUCACCUCAGAGAAAAGUAGUAGUGAUUUCAUUUCGCGUGUAUUUCACUAUUCAUCUUCCGUUAUAACUUGUGUUUUUCUGGACAAGUCCAAGUGAACUGCGAGUCACAUGAACGCGCGCCGUCCAGACCAACGAACGGCCGAAGUAAGAUUUUCAUUAAAUAUAUUUCACUUUGUUUUCCAAACCCUACCAGACACAAUAGUGAGAGUGUAAUGUGUGUGUUUGAACACUGCGGCUAAAUAAACUCGUCUAAUUCCAAUAACCCAUUGACAAAACCUUUACAAAGCUAUUAAAAUCUCCCAACUACACAUAAAUAUGUGAUGAAAAGUCAAAACUUUGAUAAAUCAGAGCUCACAGAGUUAGCAUACAUCGUCUGAAAACAGUUGAGAUGCUAACGGACUUUUUCGAAGACACUAAACCGUCUUUAUGAAGUAAAUAUUCAACAGCGCAUCAAUUACAAGAAAAGUAAAGUGUCAGGAACAGUUGUAUGUAAUAUUUGUGUGAUUUUAGGGACUAAACUCACCUGAAAACGGUGAAAACAGCAGCGAGAGAUGCAGUGUUGCAGCUGUCAGUUGGAGAGUUGCUGCCUCGUUUCCAUGGUGACUCCCUCGCUGUAGCGUUUGAAUGAUGAGACUCAGAGCGCGCUCAAAACACGUCACAGUCACGCACCAUUUAAAUAAACAUUAUAUAGAACAUGAACAACAACAACAAAAAAAUAUUUAAUUUUGAAUUUUAAUCGUUUUGUAGUUAUAUGACCCAUUCAUACAUAGGUGUAUACUGCAACCCGCACUUGAUAGUGGGACAAAGUAGCACUUUUAUUUUUAUUUAAUUUUUAUAGAUUUUUUUUUUUUUUUUUUGUAUUGUAUUGUUGUUUUUACGAUCAUUCAAACUAUUUAUUUCAUUUAAAAAUGUGCUUGCAGUUUUUAUACUAAACUUUUGUUAAUAAUUAUAACUCACUAUUUUUAUUCAGUGCUUCAGAUUCUAACUGUAAAAAUAAUGUAAAACAUAAAUGUAAUAUAUAUAUAUAUAAUUUAUAAAAGAAAGUGUCAUGUAAGAGCUCAGUAGAACAGGUCAGACCCUCCGCUUGCCACUGGUGCACCGACGGAGGGCCAGCCGCGGCAAACCGCUGGUGGCGUGCCACCCAAAAAACUCGAUAGCGUUUUUAGAUUGGUCGGCUCGCCGAUGGUGUGCCGACGGUGGUCCGACCGUAUUAAGCCGCUGAAUUUGUGCCGCCCAAAAAACGCUGAUGGACCGCCAUUGUUUGCUGGGAUUUUGCUAUCUGGGUGUGUGUGACAGCACACGCAGGCUGAGCGCGAUUUUGACUUUUCUUCCUCAAAAAACAAAAACGUAAAACAUUUCUACAAACUUAUUCGUGUCAUCGACCUUAUUUGAAUUUCGUGGGAGGGAAAACCUUGCAUUGUUUGAUUUUAUGUAAUUUUUAUGUUAUGUGAACAAUUUUAUAUAUUACUUUUGUUUUACUGUGACACCUUAAAGGGGUAGUUCACCCCAAAAUGAAAAUGUGCUGUUAAUUUACUCACCCUCAGGUCAUCCAAGGUGUGGGUGACUUCUGUUCUCUCCAGUAGAACAGUAAAGAAGACACACAACUAAUUACAACCAAUAUUUGAUUAACCUAAUAGCUAUGUUUUUCAUUCUUCAUUUUUCCCUUUUUGUAGCCCAUCAGAGGGACAUUUCCUUGGUUUGCUCACAUCAGGUAAGAAUGAAUUUCUGUUGAUUGUUACCUGUGACAGGUGUUGCAUACUCUAAACUUUUACUUUUACCUUUUUAAAUCUAGGUCAGAGGAUGGAAUCUCCUGGAUCAAGGUUAAUAAUAAAAGGCAAGUCAUUAUUAAAUGUAUAAAAUACAUGUCUUAAAGCAUCUUAAUGUUAAUACAAUCUUUUAUUUUGUAAAGGGAAGAUGUUUAUUUAAGCUGCAGCAGUAAAUAGUAAAAGAGUCUCAUCUCCAGUCCUCAGGCCCCGUCCUAGAGUGUUUUAGAUGUCUCACUAAUUAAAACACCUGGUUCAGCUGUAACAUUCUGGGAGGGGGUCCUGAGGACUGGAGCUGAGAAACUACACUAACGGUUAUGAAAAAUGAACGCUGUGUAUCAUAGAAGUUGUUGAUAUACUGUGUUUUUUUUUUUCUCAAACUGCUUUCCCAUUGUUUAUUCUGAAGUGACUGUAAUACUGGCUGAACCAGUGUCUGGAGGUCUGGGGUUUCAUCAUGAGACGCAGCUACCAGAGCAGAUUCUUCAAAGUGAAGAUGACAGAUGUGUGAUGGUUGGCUGUUUUGCUGUUGGAGGAGCAUCAGUUGAGGCAUAUAUUAGGAUGCUGGGCUGUACUCUAACCAUUGAGCCGGCUUCUCAGAUUAACUGGGCAGUAGGAGACCGAAAGAUCAGCAUGAACAACA